AUGUCAUCUGGAGUUCCUUCAAACCACUUCAGUAGGGUCAUGCUUCGCCUCGGAUAAGCAUCAGCCCUAACUGAAGUGUUUGGGGGAACUCUGGAUGGCAU
This 101-nucleotide microRNA precursor is filed under the name Musa acuminata subsp. malaccensis (wild Malaysian banana). Its description in RNAcentral is "mir-395 microRNA precursor family". It matches the Rfam family "mir-395 microRNA precursor family". Rfam says of the family: mir-395 was identified in both Arabidopsis thaliana and Oryza sativa computationally and was later experimentally verified. mir-395 is thought to target mRNAs coding for ATP sulphurylases. Lineage: Eukaryota; Viridiplantae; Streptophyta; Magnoliopsida; Zingiberales; Musaceae. The record is from Rfam by way of RNAcentral.